Molecule: long non-coding RNA, 2075 nt
Filed under: Mus musculus (house mouse)
Lineage: Eukaryota; Metazoa; Chordata; Mammalia; Rodentia; Muridae
Description: predicted gene 15860, transcript variant 3 (Gm15860)
Source: RNAcentral
AGACGGCGGCCCGCUCCGCGCUGCACAAUGGAGCUCGCGCUCUGCCCGCCGCCGCCGGCAUCACGGCCCCGGCGCGCGGGAAGCCGCUUUCAUGUGACUUGCACAAAAAAACGAAAUGGCUUCUGGGGCCGGCUGCGAACCCCCCUCUCCCGAGAGCCGAGCUCCGAGCUCCGGGCUCCUGCCGCCGCCGCCGCCGCUCUCGCCGCCGCCGCGCCAGAUCCCCAGAGUAACAGCUUGUCCUUCCUCAAGGCUCUUUGCUUAGGAAGAAAGCAAAGAAUAGAACCUGCAAGAUGGCGUAUUCCCUUCCAAUCCUGGCGGCCUGAGUUUGAUCCCAAGAUCCACACGGUAGAGGGAUAGAACUGACUCCUGCAUGUUGGCCUCUGACGUCCAUACAUAUUCCUUAGCAUGUGUGUAUCUCUCCUCUCUCGAAAAAUAAUAAGAAAAUGCAAUAAAAUAGAGAAAGAGAGAGAGAGAGAGAUCUUCUACUUAUGAAUUUGGUAGACUCUGUUCUUCCUGCCCCUUCCAUGUAUGACAACAUUGUUGUUCAGACACAGGAGGAAGAACCAUCACCCAGAGGACAAAGCACCGGGGAAGGAACUCAGAGAGCACCAUGCUCACAAUAGCCCAGAGGGUGCGCAUGCGCACACACAUACACAUGGCCACACGCUGAUCCAUGUUUAUAGCUUCUCUCUCUUUGUCUCUCUCUCUCUCUCUCUCUCUCUCUCUCUCUCUCUCUGUCUCUCACACACACAUGCACGCACGCCCGCGCGCGCACGCGCACACACACACACAUACACACACACACACACACACACACACACACACACGACCCUCUCAAGCCCCUGGGCCUUUGGGACACACAGUUCCUUUGACUGACUGUACUAUUUCUGCGUGGCUCACCCUGAUCAGUUUCUCCAAAAUAUAAUCCUCUCUGAUGUCUGUCUCCUGGGACCCAGACCUACCCUCUAGUCUCCCAGCGCGAGUGGGACUGUAUGUUUAGCACUUGCUCCUAGGAGACCAGAGCCACACCUGCUUUAUUCAUAGAGGACAGGCACCAGCACUCCCCAGGGGACAGCUACCUCUGGCAUAGUCUCUUGUGUGUGUGUGUGUGUAGUAAACGUGGAACUCAGGAUUGGAUAAACAGGUGAAGUUCUUUGUUCUUGGCUUAUGAAGACAUGAGAGGAGGUCGGGUGCGGUUCUGUUGUAAAGAGUCUGUCUAGAAUAUGUAAGGCCCUAUGUCUAGGCUGGAGAGAUGGCUCAGUGGUUAAUUAUAACUUUAAUUUUUUUCAGACCUUAUUUUAAAUGAUGUUUUUUAAAAAAAAUUUUAAAGACUUAUUUAUUGUUAUAUGUAGAUACACUGUAGCUGUUGUCAGCCACCAUGUGGUUGCUGGGAUUCGAACUCAGGACCUUCAGGAAGAGCAGCCAGUGCUCUUAACCGCCGAGCAGUCUCUCCAGCCCCUAAAUGAUGGUUCUUAAAAACGUUUUAACCUCCCUUGUAGCCCACCACCCACCAGAGGUAGUAGAAAAGAAAGGAUACAGGGGAAGUGAACCUGUUUAGAAAAGUUCUUAGGAGCAAUUCCCGUCUGGAAAUCAGCAGUUCAGUUCACAGGUUAGCAGGCAGCAGCAGCUCCAUCCACUCUCACAGAUACACCAGCAGCCCAGCUGGGGAGCAACCGUGGUGACAUGACCUAGCAGAAACAGUCAGGCCUCAGUCUUGGCUGGAGUCAGCAGGAGGGACCAACAGGAACACCAAGAGAAGUUCUCCGCUGUACCUCUCUCAGGAAAGCAAAGAUCAGUGAAGACUUGAGACCCACAAGCCUUGCACAGCUAGCUCUACAAGCAAGCCCAGCUCUGUCUCUGUCAUUCCAUGGAGUCCUAGUUAUGCCUCCAAACAUCACAUGUCCUCCACAGGUCUUGCCUCAGCAUGUGCACCCAGUCACCCAGAGUCCUCAGAAGCAGCAAGAAACUGUGCCACCAGAGGUCUUUUGGUGCGUUUCUCUCUCUGGAGUCCUGACAAAUGCAGCUCAACUACGCAAUGUAAGGCAGACCAAUACAUGCGUGUUGUUAGCAAAGAA